Molecule: ribosomal RNA, 497 nt
Filed under: uncultured bacterium
Lineage: Bacteria
Description: partial 16S ribosomal RNA
Rfam family: Bacterial small subunit ribosomal RNA
Source: RNAcentral
GACGAACGCUGGCGGCGUGCCUAAUACAUGCAAGUAGAACGCUGAAGAGAGGAGCUUGCUCUUCUUGGAUGAGUUGCGAACGGGUGAGUAACGCGUAGGUAACCUGCCUUGUAGCGGGGGAUAACUAUUGGAAACGAUAGCUAAUACCGCAUAACAAUGGAUGACACAUGUCAUUUAUUUGAAAGGGGCAAUUGCUCCACUACAAGAUGGACCUGCGUUGUAUUAGCUAGUAGGUGAGGUAAUGGCUCACCUAGGCGACGAUACAUAGCCGACCUGAGAGGGUGAACGGCCACACUGGGACUGAGACACGGCCCAGACUCCUACGGGAGGCAGCAGUAGGGAAUCUUCGGCAAUGGGGGCGACCCUGACCGAGCAAGGCCGCGUGAGUGAGGAAGGUUUUCGGAUCGUAAAGCUCUGUUGUAAGUCAAGAACGGGUGUGAGAGUGGAAAGUUCACACUGUGACGGUAGCUUACCAGAAAGGGACGGCUAACUACGUG